RNAcentral lists this ribosomal RNA (253 nucleotides) under uncultured bacterium. RNAcentral describes it as "partial 16S ribosomal RNA". It matches the Rfam family "Bacterial small subunit ribosomal RNA", at positions 524 to 776 of the family's 1533-position model. The record is from RNAcentral.
UACGGGGGGGGCAAGCGUUGUUCGGAAUUACUGGGCGUAAAGGGCUCGUAGGCGGCCAACUAAGUCAGACGUGAAAUCCCUCGGCUCAACUGAGGAACUGCCUUUGAAACUGUCCGGCUUGAGGCCGGGAGGGGGUAGCGGAAUUCCCAGUGUAGCGGUGAAAUGCGUAGAUAUUGGGAGGAACACCAGUGGCGAAGGCGGCUACCUGGACCGGUUCUGACGCUGAUGCGCGAAAGCGUGGGUAGCAAACAGG